GGGAUUGCCUUAGUAACGGCGAGCGAAGCGGCAAUUGCUCAGAUUUGAAAUCUGGUCCCCUUGGGGCCCGAGUUGUAAUCUGUAGGGGAUGCUUCGGAGUCUGACCCGGCCUAAGUUCCUUGGAACAGGACGUCGCAGAGGGUGAGAAUCCCGUAUGCGGCCGGUGGACGUCUCCGUGCGAAGCUCCUCCGACGAGUCGAGUUGUUUGGGAAUGCAGCUCUAAAUGGGAGGUAAAUUUCUUCUAAAGCUAAAUACCGGCCAGAGACCGAUAGCGCACAAGUAGAGUGAUCGAAAGAUGAAAAGCACUUUGGAAAGAGAGUUAAAAAGUACGUGAAAUUGUUGAAAGGGAAGCGCUUGCAACCAGACUCGACCGCUAAGGAUCACCCCUCCCCGUGGAGGGCUCACUCCUCUGCGGUCGGGCCAGCAUCGGUUCGGGCGGUCGUUUAAAGGCGUUGGGAAGUGGGCUCCUCUCGGGGAGCGUUAUAGCCCUUCGUGCAAUGCGGCCUGCCCGGACCGAGGACCGCGCUCCGGCAAGGAUGCUGGCUUAAUGGUUGUAAGCGGCCCGUCUUGAAACACGGACCAAGGAGUCUAACAUCUAUGCGAGUGUUCGGGUGUCAAACCCCUACGCGCAAUGAAAGUGAACGGAGGUCGGAGCCCUCGGGCGCACGAUCGACCGAUCCUGAUGUCUUCGGAUGGAUUUGAGUAAGAGCAUAAAUGUUGGGACCCGAAAGAUGUGCGAACUAUGCUUGAGUAGGCCGAAGCCAGCGGAAACGCUGGUGGAGGGUCGCAGCGGUUCUGACGUGCAAAUCGAUCGUCAAACUUGAGUAUAGGGGCGAAAGACUAAUCGAGCCAUCUAGUAGCUGGUUCCUGCCGAAUUUCCCUUAGGAUAGCAGUAACGUUUUCAGUUUUAUGAGUAAAGCGAAUGAUUAGAGCCUGGGGGUUGAACACCUUCACUAUUCUCAACUUUAAUAUGUAAAAGCCUUGUUCUUAUUGAACUGGCCUCAUGUCCGUCAUGCUG
Molecule: ribosomal RNA, 1018 nt
Filed under: Brachiosphaera tropicalis
Lineage: Eukaryota; Fungi; Ascomycota; Dothideomycetes; Jahnulales; Aliquandostipitaceae
Description: eukaryotic LSU rRNA
Rfam family: Eukaryotic large subunit ribosomal RNA
Source: RNAcentral